Molecule: long non-coding RNA, 1370 nt
Organism: Helianthus annuus (common sunflower)
Lineage: Eukaryota; Viridiplantae; Streptophyta; Magnoliopsida; Asterales; Asteraceae
Exons: 7
Source: RefSeq, a predicted model, not a curated record
AAAUUAGGGCAAUAGUGGCGACCUUAUUAGUGGCGACUUCUAAAAGGUCGCCGCUAAAGGUGUUGAUCCGCAUCAUGACUAAAUGAAGCACCGUCAGCCGUUGAUGAAUGUUCGGAUCGGACGACUAGGGUUUUAAAAGCAAUUUCAUUUUCACAAGCGGGAGAAUUUCCCACCACUUUCCUGUACUUUUCUCCCCCAAAUCCAUUUUUAUCUCUCUCUUUUCAGCCUAAAUUCCCAUCGUUGCUCUCUUUCCAGCCCUAAAUUUCCCCCUUCAAAGUUCCGGCGUGAAGGUGGUUUCCGGCGUGAAUGUGGGUUUUAGGGUGAAACUGGUUUGCGGCUUGUUUACAACAGCUCAAUUUCCGUGGGUACAGAUAUGUAUGACAGGAUGGCCGACCAAAAAAGAGCGGGGUUUUUACUCUUUGUUCGUAACCUAACACAGCACUACGUGGCGCGUUUUGAUUUUUACAUGGGGUGAUGCUGAGUUUCAUCAGGAGACAUUGCAAAACCUAAAAACUGCUAUCAAGAAAACAAAGAAGUUGUGCUCUGUUAUGUUAGAUACAACUGGUCCUGAGCUCCUGGUUGUUAACAAAGGUAAUCAUCCUAUACCCCUUGAAGCAGAUUCCUUUGUUGUUUUAACACCCGAUCAAGAGAAAGAAGCAACUUCAGAUUUAUUGCCAGUUAACUUUGGUGGUUUAGCAAAGACUGUAAAGCUCGGUGACACCAUCUUUCUUGGACAAUACUUGUUUACAGGAAGUGAGGCUACGUCUGUUUGGCCGGAGGUCUGGUCGAAUAUAUGUUGUUGACACACAAAAGGAUCCACAGGCCCCACCUUCCAUAAGGUGGUUGAGCCCGCUGACAUCAUAAGCCAAACAGGGCUCACAUAUCCCCACACCGCUCAUUGUCUUGCUUCUGGUGACAUAAUGGUCUCCUGCCUUGGAGACAAAGAUGGAAAAGCGGAAGGAAAUGGCUUCCUACUUCUUGAUUCAGAUUUCAAUGUGAAAGGAAGGUGCGAGAAACCUGGGCAUAGUCCAUUGUUUGGAUAUGAUUAUUGGUACCAACCUCGACAUAAAACCAUGAUUAAUACAUCAUGGGGAGCUCCAGCUGCUUUUACACACGGAUUCAACCUUCACAUGUUUCAGACGGUUUAUAUGGUCGUCAUUUGCAUGUGUACAGCUGGCCCGAGGGCGAACAUGUUUCAGACGUCAUUUGCAUGUGUACAGCUGGCCCGAGGGCGAACAUGUUUCAGACGGUUUAUAUGGUCGUCAUUUGCAUGUGUACAGCUGGCCCGAGGGCGAACAUGUUUCAGACGGUUUAUAUUGUCGUCUUUUAUGUACUUUUAUGUGUAAUAUGUAUACAUCAAUGGUUUGGUA